Encephalitozoon intestinalis ATCC 50506 is the source of this 140-nucleotide non-coding RNA. The record is from RefSeq and is a predicted model, not a curated record. Lineage: Eukaryota; Fungi; Microsporidia; Unikaryonidae.
UGGCUUUUGCCUCCCAUGUUUAGUCAGAAUAGUGGUUAUUCCAUCCAUUCGUUACACACAUGGGACAUGAGGGUUCCUCGAGAGUUGAAGGCCCUUCUGUGCUUCUCAUAGUUUUGGAACUACAUUUUUGUCUAAUGUUU